UAAAAUAGGAAAAGGAUACAUUGACUUUGUGAUUUUCAGUUUUUUUAUUGUUUGAAAACGGAUAUGGAUGAGAGAAAAAGCUAACUGUAACUUUAUUAUUUUUUCGCAGGAACCGGAAGUGGAAAUGGGAAAUCAAAACUGAUAUGGCGGUCAGAAAAUGGGAAUUUAAUUUUAAAAUACAGUGCAAUCUAGUCAUAUUGUGUGAUAUGCUUAAAUGUCUUUCACAAUAUCAUAUGAAAACUGUGAAUAUCGGGGUGAGGGGAAUGCUGGCCUUGUUAUCCGUUUAAAAAAGGAGGAAAAGGUAUUACGAUUAACAAAACAAGACAAUGCUUGCAAGAUUACUAGAAGCAAGGAAGUUCAAUUUAAAGAACUGGAAAGUAAGGUUGAAGUAAUUCAAAAUGUCAUGAAGUUUUUAUUAGGUCAAGAUUUAAUGCAAUGUCCUAUAAUUGUAUUCUUGUCAAAAGAAGACAUUUGGGUGAUUAAUUGUGUUGCCAAUAAGUUCCGGCCAGAUUUUCGGAGACAUAAGAGUGUGAAAGAAGAAGAUUCAUAUGUUCUUAUGUUACCAGAUUAUUGUUCCUUGCCUCCUCAUCUUAAGAAUUAUCCUUCUUUUGGUCCUGUGAUUAGUGUUGAAAUAAAGCCCAAGCAAGGUUUUAUGUUGCAAGAUGAGUUUUCAUUACCUGGUCAAUCUUUUGUUCCUAUGCGUAUGUGUCGUUUUUGCAUGAUGCAACAGUACAAAGUUAAACAGGGUGUAAUUUCAGAGAAAAGUGGUUAUUGCCCAACUGAUUUAUACAGCGGGUGUCCUAUUAGAAUGCGCCACAGUCUGAAGAUGUUACUCAAAACCCCACAAAAUAAUUUUAGGAUUUUUAAAGACCAAAAACUUAUUUAUUCCGAGGAGAAAAAGUCAAACUUAAGUGAUGUGCUUUCAGAUUUUUUUGAUGUAAAUGAUAAGUUAAGUUAUUCAGAUUUGUUGUGUACUCUUAUUAUCCAAGUGUUAAUUCGACCUCUUGAAGCUGUCAGUUUACCAAUCUCUUCUGCAAAGAAAGUUAGUCAAAUGUGUAUAAAUGCUUAUUCUGGUUGCUCCAAAUUUGAUCCUUGCCACUUCUUGCCUGUAGGAUGUGUGCUAGAUAAAAUACUCCGUGUUCAGACUCUUGCUUCUUUCUGCAUUUCAGAUGUGUAUUCAUUAUAUUUGAAAAUUAAAAGCUGUAGUACUCAUCAGAGAUUUAACAGUAUUGGCUGCUAUGCAAGAUCUGAAUUCCCUCCCUAUCUUGGUGAGCCAGAUAAACAUCCAGAUGAAACUGACUACCAGUAUGCUUCCAGAAAAGUAUGGGAAUUUCUAGUUGCAUUAACUGUGAAGGAUUGUUCUAUCAUGUUAGUUUUGAGCGUCUUCUUAAAAGUUUUAUCCCAAAACAUUGUGAGAAUGUUAUCUCGGAUGGAAAUGGGAAUUUUUACCUUUUUUCCAUUGCUAUUGUGGAUUUAGAUGCAAAACCAUUAAAUAAAGUAGAAAAGGUUUACACAGAAGCUCCAUUCAUUUUAGAAUCAUGCAUUGAUUAAAUGCAAGAAAAUCUAGGCAUAGUAUUGAUGGAUUUGUCAGGAAUAACUAUCAGAUGGGAUACCAGAUGGGAAGAAGGUACAAGUACUUUAGAACUUUGAUCUGGUUGAAGCCACAGGUAAUACUUACCUUUUUAAAUGGAUUAUGAUGUUCGAUAUCACAGUGCUCAUCUUGUGGGAGAUUGCCUUUUGAAGCAAGAAAUCAAGCAUAUGAAGUGUCUGACAUCCUCACCCAACUUGAAUCCAAUAAAACACGCAAAGAAUACUUUAGAGAGAUUCUAUUGCUGCUUGUACAGAUGCUCAGAUUGGGUAUACAACACAACCUAGAAAUACUGACAACCUGAACAACCUGAAAUCCUCAUAAAAGGAAAUAGUUUAAGCUUUUUAUUUUUAUGUACUAAAAUAUUUGAAGACUCAACAAGGGGUUUAGACAAUAUUUUAGGCUCUUAAAUUGAAUAAAAUAAUUUUAAAAGCCAAAUUUUCCCAAGGCAUAUAUUUGUAGGGCUACAUAAACAUAUAUCGCAUUUUUUUCUCAAAAUGUGAACUGUAAAAUAAAUAUUUCUUCAAAAAAGUGACUGGUCUUUUAAUUUUUUUAGCAUUGUAUAAGAAUGUGCAUAAAUAUAAAUAUUUUUUUUUAAAAUUUUGUUAUAAAAUGUAAAAAGGCUAAACCAAAUUUUAAAAUUUUACAAUUUAUUUUAUUUUUUAUCUCUAUGAGAUAAAAAAUUAUUAAGUUAAAAAAUAGUAUAUUGUUCUAGCAUCCUAAUAUAUGUCUGCAUUUGUUUAUUUUAUUAUUAGCACCAGAAACGCACAUUAUUUUUUGAUGUACUGUUAACUUGUCUGGAAUAACUUUUAAAUUUUUUCACUGAGAAAAGUGAAACAUUGUGUAUUUCCAUCCUAUGCAUUUUUUUUCUUCUUCAUCAAAAUACCAAUAAAAUAUAAUGAUUAGAUAAUGAAUACAUUGAAGUAUGCAAAUUCGUGGAAUCCCCUUAGAUAUUUUAUUUAAAUGCAUAAAUAAUUUUUGUUUAAUUUCUUAACCAUAACAUAUUUAUUUACAUUACUUUUACACCAUACAUGACAGAUAUGCAUUUGUAAACUUAUUUAAGAUAGUAAUGUAUGAUGUUGAGCAUACUAGUGGAUUUGCUUUUAUAUGGAGCCAUAGCUAUGUAGAAUUGCUGUUAGGUAGAAAUUAAUCAUCAAGCGUUUUUUGAAAUAUGUGGAUCAUAUAAAUGAAAGUUUUAGGUAGUAUGUUUUCUGUUGUAUACUGCUCAUAAAUAUUAUGAUGUCUGCUUGUAAUAUUUACAGUAUCUAUUUUAUUUUAUGAUUAAGAAUGCAUCAUUGAAAAUUAGAAUUAUAUAUAUCCCGAAAGUUUCAAAAUGUGUCUUGCAGAAUAAAUUAAGCACUGAUGUAAUAAAAUGAAAAUCAUUUCAUAUAUAUAAAAACUGUAUUUUGUAAAGUGAUUAUUUAAAUCCAUCACUAGUUUACAGAAUUUUCCAAAUAUAAGCUGAUGCAUAUGUAAAUUGAGAAGUGAGGUUUUACUGCAAAAAUUUAGCCAAAAUUGAAAACUUGUGUAUUGGCUUUUAUAAAUCCUGCAAUUAUUGUUAAAUGUUUGAAUAAUGGAAAUGUAAAUGAAUAAUGAGAUAAAGAUGAGUGCGAAAUGCUCACAUAUUUAAAAAAAAAAAAGAAAGAAAGAAAGAUUGUUAAAAGAAUGUUUCAUUAGUAGUGCUAUUGAUAAAAAAUUAUGUUAACAGUGAAACAGAAAAAAAUGCCGUUCAUUUUGAUUUGAUUGUUACAGAGAUACAUAUGCGGAUUUUUAGAAAAUUCUGAGCUAGACACUGAUUCUGAGAAAUUUGAUUAAUGUAUAUUAGUGUUAAAUAAAAUAAAAAUAUUUCUUCAAUCAUUAAUAUUAUACAUGGAAAUAUAUGGUAGCUCUCACAUGUUUAGCCCAGAAGCAUAAUCCUAAUUUCUUUAAAAUAAAAUAUAAACACAUCAUAAUAUAAUGUGCAUAAUUAGUAUGUUCUUGAUAUUAUUUAACUUGAUUUUUUGUAAAUUCUUUUUUGGAUCAAAUUUAAAUAUCUGUCCGAGUCCAAAAUUAGUGCAAAUUUUCACUUUACAGUGGACUUUGUUUUCCCUCCAAAAUCAGUGCCAAUAGAAAGUUGAAUUUUGAGUAAUUUUAAAAUUGGUAUGUUUCUAGCUAGAGCUAAUUUAUUAUUUUUGUUGGAAUAUCAGAUUUAUUCAAUAACUGUGAAUAUUUUUUAACCCUCUCCGCAAAUUAUAUGUUGACUUUUUUGUUUGUUUGCUCAGAGGGUUCUGGGAAUAAUUUAAGAGUUUUUAAAAAUAGUUAAUAUUUCACACGUUGAAGAUGUUAGACUAAAGAAUGAGCUUUUGACAGAUUUCAAUGCUAGCCUGUAAUGUUUUGACACUCUUGAACAUCAUAUAUAGCAGACAUUUUUUCCCUUGUUACUGAAAGUACAUUCAUAUGUAUCACAAAAUAUACUGUAUUCUGUAUUUGAUUUUAAAGAGCACAAAACAAAUCCAAGAAUACUGCAAUGAAAUAUAUUUUCUGAGCACAUUAUAAUACACAUUAUAAUGCACAUUAGUUGUUUUGUUUUAAUUGUAUUUACUUUGUUCUCAAAUAUAGUGAAAAAAAUUUUUUUCUUAAAUGUUGAACUCAUUAAUUCUGGAAAUAUAUUUUAUUUCAAUAUGCUUGUGAAAAUAUGUCUAUAGAAAUAUAUCUGUGUAAUAUAUAUGCAAAUGUUUAUGCUUAUAAAUGUGUAUGAUUAAUUAUGUAUAUAUUCUACAAUUUUGUGCCAAAAGCCUAUAUGAUAAAAUAAUUCAAAAUAUAAAUAAAUAAAAUAGAAAAAAAAUAAUAAAUAAAAGAAACUCAAGUUCAUAAAUGCCCAUGAAAAAACUUUUCCAACAGAGAAGCAUUCUAAUAAAGAAAAGCCCAGUGAAAAAAUUUUCAUGUAGUAAAAUGCGGAUAUUCAAAGAAGGAGGAGAUAAAAUAUAAAUACAUUGAAAAACAAAAUUUCCCUCCUUUUUUUUUACAUUUAGAGCAUUACCAUAUAAUUAGUUAUAUGUGUUGUUUCUGUGGAGAAAGCUUCUUCUCUGUGGGGCUUACCAGUGGCCUAGUGGUAAAGUUUCUGAACACUGAUAGUUCAAUCUGGAUUUGAAUCUCAGCGUAUGGGCUGGCUUCAUGGACAUUUUCACGGUUUUUCCCCAUGGGUAAUGUGGAUAUGAGCCAGUUUCCAUUAAAAAGUCCUCCAUGAAGGCAUCCAUGUACAUAGGCAGAUAGCCCUAGGAUGCUUUGCCAAACCCUUUUUAUGCAUGUAGCAAUGCCUGAUAAAAGUAGUACUUUUAGAAAUGUAUUUUCAUUAAUUACCUGAAAUAAAUUGUGUUUCAUGAAAUCAUACAGUAAAAUAAUUUUAAUGUCAAUAGUUUCUUCUUUCUUACCCUUGUUUUUUCUUUUGUGAUGACUUUUGGCCCAUACUCAUAACUAACAUUUAUCACAAUUUCCCGUGCUUGAUUUUCUUCAACACUUUUGAAAAAAAAAUUGCUUAAUAAUGACAUCAUAAUAUGUAGUAUAUCUUGAAACUGAAAUAACUCCUCAUAAAUUACUUGCGUGGGUCUAAUUAGAACCUUUUUUAAUGAAGCAUUAUAUUAGUUCCAGUAAAGUGUAGUUUUGGUAUUGUAAUAAUACCAAAACUACACUUUACUGGAACUAAUAUGUAAAAUGUUGAACAUGUUUAGAAUAAUAAUUAUAAUAAACAUAAUAUUAAUAUUGGGUUGAAUUGAGUUUCGAUGUUUGAAAGGAGAAUCUGACUUAUAUAUCAAACACAUCUUUCCUCUUAGUCUUUUUCACUUAGUGAUAGCAGAAAAGUGUAUUUAUUGUGUGUGCAAAUGAUGUAGUUGCUCCAUUUUCUGAUUAAAUGUAACCAAUUAGCCAGAAAAUGGAGCAGCUACAAGCUAUAACAAGAUUUCUGUGUUAAGCUUUCAAAUCUUUUCCUGCUUUUUUCAAUUUAUAAAAAUACUUCUGAAAAUUUUCUAGUGGAUUUUUAAUAUUAUAUAGUUUAGACUAAUUAUGUAUAUAUUUAAAAUUUACUUUAAUUUUAGCUCUGUUAAUAAAGAUUAAUUUAAGAAAUGCAUACAUAUGUUGGAUGCAAAUUAGGAAACUGUUGGAAAUAGUUGUUUGGCAUAGUAAAUGCAUAACAAAGAAGUGACUUGCAAAUGUGGGCAAAUUCAAUUAUUUACUUUUUAUAUAUGGUUGACACAUGCUUCAUUAAUCCAUCACAAAAUGGGUGCUUUUAGAAGCUUAGCACAUCUUGUAAUGUAUGAUAAACAAAAGCAAGUGGGUGACAUGCUACUUUGAUGCAAGUGAGAAAGUGAUGCAUUCUGAAGAAAAUGUAGGAGAAAUUAAAAAAAGGGGGGAGUUUCAGUUGAAAUCUUACUCAGUGAUUGGAUAAAAGCAAUCUGCAUUGAGCGUAAAAUAAGAUUGUAUGAUACGAAUUAAUUUUGAAAUGAUGCAGUUUAGAUGGAUAUAUUAUAAAUAGUUACUAAUCUUAGGACAGAAAGGGAAAAUAUCCAAAUUAAUAUGAAGAAUAAAAGAGGCUAUUGCCAAUUAAAAUUAGAAGUUUGCUUAACAUAUUUUUAUCUUAUCUAUAUAUAAUUUAUAUAUUUUUCUUACAUAUAUAAUAAUAAUAAAAGAAAAAGUUUUAAUCCAAUAUCCAACUAUGCAUUGUAUGCUGCAAAAACUGAUGGCAGUAUUAAUAAAUUAAAUGGAUAAUUUAAACCCAAUAUAUAUUCAGCAGGGAAUAAUGAACUAGCAAUAAGUAACCCAUUUUGCAAAAGCAAUAAACCACUGUAAAUACGUAAUGAACGUAAUUUUAAAAAAGAUGUUCUAGCUUUGAAAUUUAAUGAGUGGGGAAAAAAUAAAAUGCUGUGCAAAAACAAUAAUAUAAAAUCAAAAGAGAAUUUUUUUCCUCUAGUCUUUAGGUAGCUGGUGUAUCAAGGGAAUGGAGUACUUAUUUAAUUUAUUGAAGUUUUAAAUUUAGUAAACUUGUGUCAUCUUCAUUUCAGAAAUAAGUUGCUACAUUUAUUUCUCUCAAUAAACCAACCUCUGAUGACAGUGUGUCAGGAGAUGUAAAUUCUUACUUUAUUUUAUCAUUUUCGCACUCAUUGAAUUUCAAAGCUGGGCACCUUUUCUUAAUUAUUUACAGCAGUUUAUUUCUUUUUCAAAAUAGUUUAUUUAUUGCCAGCUCCUUAUUACAGUGAAUAUGUAUUGGGUUUGAAUUUUUGAUUUAUUUUAUAAAUGAAUGAAUAAAUAUAUAUAUAUAUAUAUAGAGAGAGAGAGAGAGAAAGAAAAUAUUUUUGUCAUAUACUUCUUGAGGAGGAACACUGAAUGUGAGAGAUUUAUAGAUCUUGUGAUAAAUUUUUACUUAAUUUUUUUUAUUCAUACAACAUGAUAAAUUUGAUUAAUGCAUAGAAGUAAUCUUUUAUCUUCUGUCACAAAAUAUUCUUUGAUUUCAAAACAAUUUUUUUUCCUCUUGUCAUUUUUAUUUAGUUUCACAUAACACUGUAGAGACAGGCUAUAUGUUUGUCUGUAAUUGUGUGCACUAUCUGUAAACAUUUUAAUGUGUGGUGCCUUUUUUUAUCUUUGAGUUAGCAUGUUCAAAAAUGUGACUUCCUAGAAAAUGUGCAGCUACAGAAUUAUUUUGCUCAGCUUUGUAGGUGCUAGAUUUAUUUUAUAAUGCAGCUAAUUUUUAUAUUGCUAUAAUUAUACCUAGUAUAGCAUAAUUUACAUUUGUUUAUAACAUUCUGCCAAUUAGUGUUUCCUGCAGUAAAAGGAAUUUGGCAUUUUAUGACAUUCUGAUAGUUUAAUAUAUUAAUAUUUAAUAUCUCCUAGUAAAUUCAGACAGUAUGAAUAUACAUUUAGUGUGCAUGUUUCGUUUGGAGUUCAUUUUUUCCAUCAGCCAAAGCCAAGAUUAAUUCUGAUCUUACCUAAGCAGGAUACUUUAUUAUAUUUCUUUGCAUGAAAGUAAUCAGUUAAAUCAAACUGCAGAUUUUAAGAGUGGAUAAGUAGUUUUCAGCAGAAGAAUUUAUUGGUUUCUUUGCAGCUGUAUUUCAUUCUUGGAAAAUGGAUAGGAAAAUUUAUUCAUCAAAAGAAUUUUAAAUGGACAUUGUAAAAUGUAAACAUACAGAGAAAAGAAUGUCAAAGAAUAAUUAUCUGAUAACAAAUUAUUCAAUAAAAUAUUGCAUUUAGAAUGUGAAGUAUAUGAAAAAUUAAGCAACUGUCCAAAUAUACAAUUGAAAUUGUAUGAAAUGGAACAAGUUUCUUUUUUUUUUUUUUAGUCAGAACAAUCAUGUUCCUUUUAAAUCUGUAGCAUUAAAAACUGAACUCAGUAUCCUAUCCUGCAAGCAACUACAGCAACAAAGCAUAUAUUUCAAAGAGCAGCGGAGCCUCAGAUCACAAAUGCUUCAUUUCACAAACAAAAUCUCUGAACAGAUAACAUCACAUCAUUUUAAUAUUUUCCUUUGCUUUAUCCUCAGUAACAAAGUCUGGCAGCAAGUGAUUCAUAAGAGCUUGAGUUUGGUUUGGAGGAAAUUAUGUUGAGAUUGGACUAUAUGCAGAGACUUUGAGGGUUUUGACACUUAGGACUUCUUUUGUUAUCUAUGAUAUUAUGUAUCUAGGCAAAACCAUGCGAUAGAUAGUUAACAAUAAGGACAUGGAGAUGUUAUUAGAAGAUUAUAAAAAUGAACUCAACAAGAAAGAACUACAGCAACUUCAUAAUCAGCAACAAAAGGCAAUUGUAGAAGAGGAAGAUGGGAAAUUUGUGCAGAAUGGGGAAAAUGUAAAGUUUUCACGCAAUGAUAUCACCCUGAUAAAGAAGUAAGAAGUUACAACAUAAGCAUUUUCAGUGAUAAUACCAAUAUGUCACUUUAGGAACAUUUUAAAACAUAAACAACAAUAAAUCACAUGAGGUAAAUUUUAAAUGAAGGCUUGGUGAAUCUCAAACAGAGUCAAACAGUGCAAAGACAAAGGAAAAUAAAAUAAGAUACUUACCAAAGACCGUUGCUUAAUGUUUGCAUUAGGAAGAGAUGCCUCAUCCAAAUGAUAACAUCUUCCUUGUCAUUUUCCAUUUAUGCUGCAUAAUGUUCUUUCAUACAGUAAUAUUAAAUUAAGCUUUUGACUUUUUUUAUCUGUUUAAUGCUAUGUUUACCUUUGUCUUAUAUUUAAUGAUAUCCAUUGGUUUUUUGGCAAUGAUUUUGUUCCCAGAAUAUUGUUGUGGAGUUGAACAAUUGUGGUCCAGGAAAAUGCAUUUACAUUAAUUCCAAUGGCAAAAAUUGUUUUGGUUGACGAACAGCCUUCAGGAAUCAAUUAAAUUUGUGAAACGAGGUUUCAUUGUAUAUGCUUUUUCUGUUUGUAAGAAUAAAUACUGUGACACCUCUCAUGCUGACUGACAACAUUUCUGAAAACAUAAAUAUUGAACAUCUGAAAAAAUAUUAAUAUUAAACAUUUUUGAGAACAAAGAUAUUGAACAUCUAUGAUGUUGUAUUCUUUAAGGCAAUCAUCUUCACAAAUAGAAAUUAGGAAAUGUGGGGUCUGUUUCUGUGGUUUUACUGCAAUAUGUGAGGAAGUGAAGAAAAUUCCACUGAGAGUAUUAAUAAUUUGAAAUAUGUUAAUGCGUCAAACAAAAUUUCUUCUUUAGUAGCUGAUAUUAUCUUAUGCUGCACUGGCUUCAGAAAAACCUGCUAACUUUACAUUAGUCACUAGAGUUUUGGAUUUAGCAUGAGGACCCUUUUUUAAUAAGUGUAUGUUGCAUAAGUCUCUAAAAAUAAAUUUAGCUUUUUCUAUUAUCUUCUAUAUCUUACUCUUUUUCUAUUAUAUAUAGGCUAAUAUGUAUAUGCUUUAUAUGGUCAUAAGUUUCUCUUAAUAUAUGCACAUUGAAAUUUACUCCAGCAUUCACUUGCAUUAGAAGAAAUGUCAACACCAAGGCCAUGUGAGAAUUUGUGUCACAUAAAGGGGAAAAAAAAAUCUCAUGUCAAGCCUUUAGAUUUAAAAAUUUAAUUUAAAGAUAAUAUAUUUAAAAUAAAAUUUUAUACUAAAUCAUGUUAAUUUCCUUUAAAUUCAUCAUGCUUAAAAAAGUUUGUAACUUCCUGAAAUUAUUAAAAAGAAUUUUAUUUAAAUGUAUUUAAUAUAUCCUAAAAUUCUAGAUAAUGAUUGUAUAUUAAUAUGUUAAUCAUAUUAAUUAAGCAUUGUAAUGUUACUACAAGAGACUUGCUUAUAUGAUAUUUUUAAUUAAAUAAAUUCAGAUGAUAACUGCAAGGUUAUUUGUAGUCACAUUCAUUUUUUUUUAUGAGUAAAUUCUUCUAUAUUUUACUCUUGACAAAUAUGAGAAGAAAUGCAGAUAUGUAAAUUUUAAGCUGUAGUUGUAUUCUUGAUGAAAUUCGUCCUUUCUAACUGAAAAUUUGAAUUCAACUAAUUUAUAAUUGCUUUUUUUUAUAUGCCAUUUAAGUUAUGUGAUUAAAUUCAUUUUGGUGAAUUUUGUGAUUUUAAAAUUUUUUAAUAUAUUUCUAGUCCAAAAUGUGAUAUAUGAUGUAUUUCAGAGUGUGUACAUUUUUUAAAAUUUUCUUUUCAGUUCAGUUGUCAAUUAACACCUUAUCGAUGAGACUAUAAAAUUGAUUACUUAACAAUUAUCAAUCACCUUAUCAAUGAGAUAGUUGAUUGAUUACUUAACAAUAAUUUAUUAGAUGCAAUUUCCCAUCAUUGAAAUCUGAAGGCAGUAUUAAGUUUGAAACAUACAUUGUUAUCCAUCGAUAAGUUGUUAAGAUAUAUGUGAUGUCUAGUUUAUAGUUUUUUUAAUGUUUUCUUUAUUUAAACUGAGUGUUAAUGUAUGCUUGUAUUUUAUUUGUUUAAAUUGCAGAUUUACUUAUAAUUAUUGAUUUACCAUGGCACAGUUUUUACAUGACAUUAAGUGUUUUUAGAUGAAAUUAGAUAUUUGUUUUAAUUUUUAGUAUGCAGUGCUAUACAAAAACAUUAUCAAAUCUGUAAUAUAUAUAUAUAUAUAAAAAAAAAAAAAAAAAAAAAAAAAAAAAAAAAAAAAAAAAUUA
RNAcentral lists this unclassified non-coding RNA (10653 nucleotides) under Stegodyphus dumicola. RNAcentral's name for it is "inositol-pentakisphosphate 2-kinase-like, transcript variant X1". Lineage: Eukaryota; Metazoa; Arthropoda; Arachnida; Araneae; Eresidae. The record is from RNAcentral.